ACUUAGCUGAAUCUGACCCCAAUUACAUUUAAACAAAGUCAUAUUUUACGCUCAGUUUUGCAUUAUUAUAACAUUUCUUUUAUUCAACUUAAAUUAGCAUUCUCCUGGUUUUCGGGAUGAUUCUGUUCACACUGAAAGCUUUAGUGUUUUAACAGGUGCAUCUCAGCUUGCUCAUGGGCUGAUACACAAAUCGUGAUUUGAUGAUUUUACUUGACUUUGAAAAAUGACACAAUGAGCCAAUAUGACUUUGAGGAGAGGGAAUCCAUUUUCUGAUCUCCUCUCGGUUCUCUUGAUCUCUUUUUUUCUUUUAUUGACCUGAAUGAAGACGUAUGGAGCAGAAUUGUGUGUUCGGUUGACUCCUGAUGAGGCCUGUCUGCCUCCCCCCCCCUCCCCCUUUCUCCCUGCUCCCCAUGAUCCCUGCAAGGCUGAGUGGCAGGGCUCUGGAUUGGCUAAGUGAUGAAAUGAUGACCCUAUUAUGAGAAGCGACUCCAAAAUGAGAGCUUCACCCGCGACCCGCUAUUCCAAAUGAGGGAUGUUAUAAAAAGGAUAAUUCUCCCUCCUCCACGACAAGACAAAUUACCCGUAAUAUUAUUAUUUCAGAAACGAGCCAAUAGCAUCAGUGACUAAAUGGAUAUUGACUGCAGCUCGUAGUGUGACUGUGGCCUCCUUCACCCUGCUGCAGACUCCAGUGUCAGCAUCUACACAGUGAUGCCAAACCUCCCGAGUGUUUAACACACAAUCCAGGCCUGCUCUCACAAAACGACAACCGCAUGUAUCUCAGAUGGUGAAUCCGCCUACUGAGUGAGUACAUUCUGACGCUGAGCGUUCCCGCGCCUGGCUGUUGUCUAACCAGACUCGCGAGGCCCAAAUAGCGGGUUUGUUUGGAAGAUGCUAUAGGUGCCGUAUGGUAAUCGGCGAAAUCUCAUACUGCCUAAAGCUCUCCAGGCAUGUAGGAUGGGCUCCUUCCUGCAGUGCCUUUUCGCGACGGUAAAGUGAUACAACGUACAAAUCAAAUGACUAGCAGAAUGCUAAAACCACGGUGUGGGAGCUGUGCCCUAGAUAUUUGCUCUGACUUAAUCCAAUAGAAAUAGUAUGAGUGAGUUGCAGGGGCUCCCAGGUCUGUUACUUGCUUAAAUAUGUGACGCAUAAUGGAAGUUGACGAGGCUGGUGAUAGAUCACAGCCCAGGUAAUGUAAACACAUUAAUCCCUCAGGGUUCAUGUGCAUGUUUCCUUCUCUCUUUUUCUUCUUUCUCAUUCUAUCAGCCUCUCUUUCGGUUUCUCUCUCUCUUUAAGUCCCCUCCCUCCUCUCCCCCUCGCUCCAUGUUCAUCAUCUUCCCUAAAUGCGUUAGUGGAGCACAAACCAGAAGCAGCCCUAAUCUGUCAACAUGCCCUUUAAUUGGAGGGAGAAAACAACACGUGCUUCUGCUUGUGCCAUUCCUAAGUGCACAUGCCAAAGAAACACAGAGUUCACG
This is a long non-coding RNA of Gasterosteus aculeatus aculeatus (three-spined stickleback), 1472 nucleotides long. NCBI's taxonomy places the organism in Eukaryota, Metazoa, Chordata, Actinopteri, Perciformes, Gasterosteidae. The record is from Ensembl.